Molecule: long non-coding RNA, 18064 nt
Filed under: Triticum aestivum (bread wheat)
Lineage: Eukaryota; Viridiplantae; Streptophyta; Magnoliopsida; Poales; Poaceae
Description: long non-coding RNA (TAES_LNC004699)
Source: RNAcentral
AAGACUCUAUGACUCAGAGUAUUUAUUCAUUAGGCUCCGAAGAGCCAAAUAUUACAAACAUGGGUCUCAUGACCCAACAUUCAGAGCAUACAAGUCAAAGCACAUGCGGAAGCUUAACAUGUCUGAGUACAGACAUCUACAAAUGAAAAAGGCUGAGAAGCUUGACUAUCUACCAGAUCCUGCCGAGGGCACAAGAUCGUAGCUGAGGUAUCAAGCUAAACGUCGAAGUCCACACGGAACUACUAGCGAGACUGGCGUCUCUCUGCAAAACAUAAAAUAAGCAAACGUGAGUACAAAUGUACCCAGCAAGACUUACAUCAGAACUAUCUACAUAUGCAUCGGUAACAACAAAGGGGGUGGUGGAGUUUAACUGCAGCAAGCCAGCUUUGACUCGGUGGCUAUCCUGAACUACGACUGCAAGUAACUCUUUUGAGGUGGCGCACAUGAGUCCACAUAUUCACCAUAUCAAUACACCACUAUGGAUCCGCUCCCGUCUCCCUACGAGAACGCCAUCCAUAGCACUCACGCUUAUCUUGCGCAUUUUAGAGUAUCCACUUUCACUUGUCUAUGAACUGUACAGGCAACCCAGAAGUCCUUUACCGCGGACACGGCUAUUCGAAUAGAUCAUAUUAACCCUGCAGGGGUGUACUUCGUCACACACGCUCUCGCCACUUACCACCAUGUACAUGUCGUGUACCUCGGCAACCUUCAAGCGGAAGCCUGGCGACGGAGUCGGCCACGACCUGACUAACCACACAAGUCUCUAGUCCAGGUUUAUCGCCUAUUCGGGUUCCAUCCGCAAGGAGAUCCGGCCGGGGUGUCGCUCACGGCCCCAAACGAUGUGUGCAGGGUUCCCGAGCCCACCAUCCGGGUGCCGCUCGGUACACCAGGCCACGUGUGCCUAGUCUGUCCCAAGCCCACCUGUACCGGGUGCCACUUGGUAGACUACUAACACUACCUACAAACACCAGAAACUAGUUGCAACUCCUGGACAGAGAUCAGGUUGAUUAAUAAGUCGAGAGGGGCACUUAAGCAUUCCAAUGCGUGGUAGUAACUGUUCAUGGAUCACAAACACAUAACUCAGUUCCUGAGGACGGCUGCAAUGAGACAACCCACCAUGUACUCCUACAUGGCCUCUCACCGCUACCUUUACCAAAUCGUGUUCACACACUUAGCUCUCAACAGUAGGACAUGUUCACCACAUUCCAAUUCAUUCCCGAUGAAUCAGACCUGACACAACUCUAAGCAAUAGCAGGCAUGACAAACAAGCAUGAAUGAGUAGGCACAUCAGGGCUCAAACAACUCCUACUCAUGCUAGUGGGUUUCAUCUAUUUACUGUGGCAAUGACAGGUCAUGCAGAGGAUAAGGGGUUCAACUACCGCAGCAAGUAACAAAUGAAUCGUUGUUGUCCUAAUGCAGUAAAAGAGAGCAGGAGCGAGAGAGUGGGGUUGUAUCGGAAUGAACAAGGGGGUUUGCUUGCCUGGCACUUCUGAAGAUAGCAUUGAGUCUUCAUUAGUGUCAACGAUCACAACGCCGGAACAUCAUCUACCGAGAGGGGACUAAUACCGGCAACAGAGAAGAAAUACAAUCAAUGCAAUGCACAAUAUGAUGCAUGAUCAUGACAUGUCAAUAUGCUGUGUUUUAAGCUAAUGCAACUAGCAACAUGUUAAAUGGAGUUGGUUUGAACCCUAGGUUCAAAUUCAAACUCCACAUGUGAGGGUUUAAAUGCCAUUUAUAUGACUUGGCCUAAACAGCAGCCAUAAGUUGUUCUAACAUGCAUGAAAACAGUACAGAUGGAUAGAUUGGAUUUUUUUGAUCAUUUUUCAUAUAUAAUUUGUUUCAUUUGGAGUUAUGGUUGAAUUUCUAUGAAUUUUUGAAGUUUGUAGUAUUUUCUGGAAUUUCCUGUAUAAGAAUAAUUCCAGUAAUUAAAUUACUGCGUCAGCACUACGUCAGGGUGACGUCAGCAUUGACCAAAGUCAAAUCUGACUGGUGGGACCUAUCUGUCAGUGUAACAGUGCUAAUUAUGUGGCUUAUUAAAUCCUAACUAAAAAUAAUUAGCUCGGCGGGGCCCACCGUCAGUGACUCUAGGGGGGUUAGUUAGGCGCUAAUGACGGUGCCACGUCAUCGGUCGCCGGAGCCUUGCCGGCGGCGACCAAAACGACGGCGGCUCGGCUCGGAUUUGAGCUACGGGUGGUGGUUUGGUGAGCUAAGGGCACCGGGGAGUAGCUCUUGCUCGUCCGCAUCCAAAGGAUCGGACGGGAGGCAGCGGGGUGGCCGGGAGCAGCGCCGGCGGCGAGCAAGGCGGCGGCCGGAGUUCGGCGUCGGUGAGGACGAUGCUGCGGUGCACGGGAGGAGGAGCUGGUGCGUGCGUUCGGCUCCUAAGAGCAGGGUUAGCAGGCGGGUGCUACUGGGGCGAGCGGAGGAGCUCGGGAGCGCGGGGCUCGCUGGCCAUGGCGAUGGCCGGAGCUCGGUUUCGCGGGGCGGCGGCUAACGGGCGAGAACGGAGGGGGUGAGAAAGGGGGAGGAGCAGGAGCUCACGGCGAUGCGGUAGAGAGGGUCAGCGGCCUCGGGGACGGACGGAAACCGACGAAUCGACAGAGACGAUCUCCGGGCGCCAGCGGUGAAGACGAGGACGUUGGCGACGAAGCAAAGUCCUCCGGCUCGUUUCCUUCGGCUUGGGGAUGUGGUGCUCGAUUGCGGAGCUGCUGGGCACGAUCACGGGACAAGGGGUGGCCGGUGGUCAUGGCUACGGCGAGCGGCGCUCUCAGGUGCGUUCGGUGACGAGAGGAAGGGAGAGCAGAGGAGGAGGAGGGGUCCAGAGAGCGAGGGAGAAGUGAGAGGGGGUCGGGGAGGUGCCGUGGCACUCGUGGAGGCGUCCAGAAGCGGCGGAAGCAGGAGGUGGCCUCGCGCGCGGCGACCACACACCCGGCGUCCCUCUGGCGUCCUUCUGGCGCGAGGUGGGAGACGGUGGCGGCUCUGGUGGGCUGGGCCAGCUCCUGGGCCGUGGUGGGGCGCCAGGUAAGUCCAGGUGAGGGCCCAGUGGCCUUCUCUCUCUCUCUCUUACUUAAUUGUUUCUAUUUUCUAUUUUAUUUCUCUGUUUUGAAUUAGUAAAAAUACUAAUUCAUUUUGUAAGAUCCUGAAAAUAAUUGUGGGCACUUUUGAAACUAUUUCCAACAGCCCUCAAAUGCUUUCAAGAUUAUUUGGACAUUUAAAAUAUUUUAUAGAAUGUAAUGUCCAAAUUCAAAUACUUAUGAUUUAAUUCAAAAAUCCAGAAUGUCCUAGAAAAGUGUGCACCAUUUUUGCCAGGGGUUUUAGCCCAAUCCAGAAAUGAUGAACAUUUUGUGAAGGGCAUUUUGGGUUCAUUGAAACCAAUUUUAGUAAAUCCUAGUUGGUUUCAGGGGGGGGUGCUGGGGGUUCUGUCAUCCCCAUUUCAAGUUUCUGCAAAAUUCAAACAUGAUGCACACAUGAAGCUAGCCUAGUGCAAUACGAGAAGCUAGGGAUGUGACAAAUCGCCCCCACUAAACAAGAAUCUCGUCCCGAGAUUCAAGUCGUGAGGUAAGAAGACAGAGGGACACAAGCUAACACAAUCUUCACGGUCCAACUUCCCUUCUCGAAGAUGUUGAUUCGUUGCAUCAUCUUGAUCUUGACAUCUUGCUUGAGAACUCCACUCAACACGACCACGAGAAGAAAUGGAAACUCUAGAAGAAUCGAUCUUCUCGAGGAUCGAGCAACUGACGAUCAACUCACGGAAUGAGGCAUAGAACACCUCUCGAGCUGAGAGGCAAAACAUGCACUAGGAGGGACGGAAGAAACAAUUUGACGAGGGUUUCAAGUAGCGAGGAAAAUUGCCAUGAUUCCAUAACGAGACAUAUUAAGGAAGAUGACUCGCAGGAUAUCCCCUUAAGUGGCAAAAAGAAUUACUUUUGAUUCAAAGAUCAUUGAAACUCUUUAUACCAGCCCAAGGCAGAACACAACAAUCGUUUGGCGGAGUACGAAGGAUGGCACAAUGGCGGUGCAAGCUGGGAACAGAAUGCAAAUGAUGGGAAUGAUUCUAGUAACUGGGGAGAAACCCAACAGUAGAGAGUGAUUCCACUAUUGGAAAGGUUAUAACAUAACCGAGGAAAUUGGGGCCAAUCCCAGUUAGUGCUGACGAUGACACCUAAUGCUUGCGCGUGCUCUCAAGUACUUGAGCAUUUCCAUAUUCAUCAAGUUGUACCAAUAUCCGUGCCGAGGAUCCUGGCAUAAUAUCUUACUUCCAUGAUGAAUAGUGAUGGACAAUGCGGAUACAAAGGAAGAUAACACCUUCUCAGACUUCCCCUUAGCGAGGCUAAGGAAACAGAAUCUGGAUGAUCGACCGAGAGACAUUUAGCACUCCGCUUCUAAUGUUCUCCUUGAUGUGCUAGUGCAACCCAUUUGUUAAAAUGGUUUGGUACGUAGAACAUCAAGUAAAAGGUCGGACUUCGGGAGCACAAGAGUCCAUAAGGAAUAUCUACGGAAGUAGAAUCUUAUGAAAUCCUUAUGGAGAGGUGGCCAACUUCCUCAAUCAAGAUACUAUAAUAAUAGGUCUUCCGGUUGGGUGUGUUGGCCACGACAUCCACUCUACCGGUUACCGGGAGACCAAUAUUAUAGCUCUUGGGAAAAGUUCCAACCAUCACAUCUGCCCGAGAUUCAGAUCUGGUUGGUGGUAGGAUAUUCCAGACUCAUCGAGUCUAGGAAGAAAAAUGAAGGUUUGCAACACCAACUGACGAGAUGACGUUGCGAGAUUCUCAGGGGAUGAACUACGAUAGCAAGCUCCAAAACAUGAGCUGGUUCUGCUACAACAUGUGAACACGCUGUCCCAGACAAGCAUGACCACAUAGUAGUCUUACAAGAAAACACUGCCGAGCUCUGGUUGGGAACCAUCAUUAAGAUAACGAAGUCUUGUGCAUGUCCGUCCGGGCCCUUCAGGAGUAGCGCAUGAACUUCUUUUCUUUGAACAAAUCAAUCAGUGGCUUUGUGUGCUAGGAAAUACCGAUGGGAUGGAGGUAGCUAAUCUCUCAAGCCAUGGUAUACUUCGCAUGUGCAUGACUGACUUGGGAUGAUUCCAGAGGAAGCAAAACUAACUUUCUCGAAUUCACGACGGCAACUUGCACCUAAUGCACGUGAACUUGGAGAAAGCCACUUCUUGCACCAAACAUAUACCUCAUGAACAACAUGAAGGCAAUGGUUACAAAGUUUUCAACACUAGGUUGAUGUUCAACAUGAAUCAUGGGGGAGACAAAAUGCUGCUGAUGGGCUCAACAACAACUCAUCGGAAUUUCCAUAUCACUGGACUUCCACCACCAUGUGAACAUGAUGAUAGCAUUGGUCAGACCAAAAGAUGUAAUGGUGUAUGCUCGAGGAAUCAACCACGAGUAAGACAACAUUACGAACAUCGUUGGUUCUGAUUUGAUUUGGUAAUAGCCCAUACUCAAAUCAAAGUUCGGUUAAGAGGAUAGGUCCAUUAAUUGAUCACGAGGACCAAUCGUUGAAGAAAUCAUCUUUCUACAACAAACACACACAAGAGAUAUCCUUUGGAAAGAACUAAGUCAGGCAAGCUUUUAUCUUCCAACUCUCCAAGUUGUUGUUUGGCUUAACCAACUAGCUCAGGGGUAUCCAACACAGAUCCUUGGAGAAAGAGUGGUUUAUAGGAAAACCAUUUGAUCACGAGCUUAACAUAGCGGUCAGGUGACAACCUGGUGAUACUUCUGAGAAGAUAUUCGGAAAAUCACGAACCACCGAUAUGUUGCUAAGCUCGAGAACAAUCUUGCUUUUCAGGGCAAGACGAUAUGACCAAGAGAGUGAUGGAUUGACACAAUCCUAACUCAUUCAUCGAGGAGUGCACCGGAAAUAAGGACUAGGUAGCAUGAUCAACCUCAGGAUGGUGAUUCAAUAACCAACACGCUAAGGAUGAAAUUAUUGUCCUUUAUCUACCAAGCAAUGGGGUUGCUAGGAGUAUAGAUUUCACACACCACGAUUCACUUGUCAGUAUUCCGGUUGCAAUAACACGGAGACCGAGGAAUGAAUAACGAUGGCCAGAAAUAUCACUGCAACAAGAAUUCAUAAGGGUUGGUGCAAUCCUCAUGAGAUUCCUGACAUAAAGAGGGUAAUACUCGUAGGUAGAACAGAACAAAAGCUGGUUAGGCAUUUGAUCUGCGGAAAACAACUACUUUGACCCAAUCCUAGAGAUGGACGAGGUACUGGAGUUUGUUUCUCCUAGUCAUUCCGGAAUAGAAUGGCUUGACGGACCACAAGAAUAAUAGGCAUCGGUAACACAGACGCACAACUAGUCCUGACUAUCAAUUGAUAGACAGAGGUCAGAAUACAACUAAAGAGAGACAACUCAAAGGAACAUAUGGUUUUCUGAGUUGCGGAUGCAUAAAUUUAGUAUGUCAAACAAGUUCAACAUAUUUCUUCCAGAUAACCCAUGCAGAGGAGGAAGGACUGGAAGAGUCACAAUAUGAAUGGAGUACUCCUCAAGAGCACUUUGGUUGUGAUCUUUCGGUUAAAAGAACUUCUGCCAUGAUGGUUCAUGGUAUUGGAAGAAUGAAAUACCACGGACCUCGAGGACUCAUGCAAAGGUUACUAAUACCUAAAGGAACGAGCAAACACUAUCAACAGGAGGUAAGUGGAGUGAAUCUUGGGCCAAGAACCCAAGGGUAGAAUACCUACUACUAAAUAGCAUCACGAGAUGCUUUCGAGAAUGGUGGCCAGAAUCAUCACACCGGGAACACAAAACAUGGCUAGAUUACUAGGUGACUCCCUAAGACACCUAGGGUCAUAAUAAUAGCUCCAACAUAUAUGUCGAGGCAAUAGAGUGCCUCAACGCACCGGUAGUGUGCUUAAUCUGGCCCAAAGGGACGCAAAAACAGAGGGAAAGGAUUUGCAAAUGCAUCAGAUUGUUUAGAAACCUGGGAUGACUCGGACAGCAUGACGGCUGUAAAUGCUCAGAAAGGAUUUGAGACAUUCACAAGGAUUUGCAUAGUCACUUAACAACAUCAUAUCAUGGUUCUGGGAUGAACUGUCAACACAUGGAAGUAGUAGAAACUGAGCUGAGGCUUCAGACCAACAAUCCUACGAGUCUACAGAUUAGUAACACGUGAUCCUGAUAGAAAGAUGAGAAGCCUAGUUCUUAAUCCCCGUAGAAGAGAAGAGGGUGACUCAGAUCAGAAGGGCAUAAGGUAAAGGAGUAAAAAGAGCCUUACGUUCCCAUCCACAAUCAAUUCCCUUAUAUAACUAAAGCAUUUCUAGACUCAACUUCGACCAGUUUGGCUUGGUAAUCCUACAGGCAGUCAGGCUCUGAUACCAAAGCUGUCAGGACCCCGAUUCCAAGUCACACCGAUCUAGCCUGUAACACCUCAUAUCACUUUGCAGCCUCACGCACGGUACUCCCACGGGUGUCGCCUUACCAUGGCCCGGGACCGUUUGCGCCUUUUGGCUCACGUAUAUGACAAUGUCGCUAGCAUCCAUAUGACCGAGAACCCGGGCCGACAUGGCUAGUCGUGAACCCAAAGCGGCACUAACGUAUGGGGACAGUCAUACAUGAAUCAACAUCGAACGUGUCGGUCAGCAGCGUGCGAAUCCGGGCUGUAGCACUGGGCUAACAGGACUCCGGGAACCCGGGCUGUAGCAGGCUAGGCAGGACUCCGGAUGUCACCGCAUGACAUUUCCCCGAAGGGACAGACACAUGAACGAUAUGAAACACAUGCCGGCCAGUCAAGUGUCCAGAGCAGUAGUGCUGGGCUAGCAGGACUCCGGUGAACCGGGCUGUAGCGGACUACUAUGGCUCAAGGAGGCACUAGACUACAUUUCCCCAUAAGAGAGGCUGCUAAGGAUAGACAACUAGAUUGUCGGAUCCCACACAUACCAAGCAUUUCAAUCAUACACACAAUAUGCUCGAUAUGUGCAAAUACAACAUGGCAUCACAACAAGACUCUAUGACUCAGAGUAUUUAUUCAUUAGGCUCCGAAGAGCCAGAUAUUACAAACAUGGGUCUCAUGACCCAACAUUCAGAGCAUACAAGUCAAAGCACAUGCGGAAGCUUAACAUGUCUGAGUACAGACAUCUACAAAUGAAAAAGGCUGAGAAGCUUGACUAUCUACCAGAUCCUGCCGAGGGCACAAGAUCGUAGCUGAGGUAUCAAGCUAAACGUCGAAGUCCACACGGAACUACUAGCGAGACUGGUGUCUCUCUGCAAAACAUAAAAUAAGCAAACGUGAGUACAAAUGUACCCAGCAAGACUUACAUCAGAACUAUCUACAUAUGCAUCGGUAACAACAAAGGGGGUGGUGGAGUUUAACUGCAGCAAGCCAGCUUUGACUCGGUGGCUAUCCUGAACUACGACUGCAAGUAACUCUUUUGAGGUGGCGCACAUGAGUCCACAUAUUCACCAUAUCAAUACACCACUAUGGAUCCGCUCCCGUCUCCCUACGAGAACGCCAUCCAUAGCACUCACGCUUAUCUUGCGCAUUUUAGAGUAUCCACUUUCACUUGUCUAUGAACUGUACAGGCAACCCAGAAGUCCUUUACCGCGGACACGGCUAUUCGAAUAGAUCAUAUUAACCCUGCAGGGGUGUACUUCGUCACACACGCUCUCGCCACUUACCACCAUGUACAUGUCGUGUACCUCGGCAACCUUCAAGCGGAAGCCUGGCGAGGGAGUCGGCCACGACCUGACUAACCACACAAGUCUCUAGUCCAGGUUUAUCGCCUAUUCGGGUUCCAUCCGCAAGGAGAUCCGGCCGGGGUGUCGCUCACGGCCCCAAAUGAUGUGUGCAGGGUUCCCGAGCCCACCAUCCGGGUGCCGCUCGGUACACCAGGCCACGUGUGCCUAGUCUGUCCCAAGCCCACCUGUACCGGGUGCCACUUGGUAGACUACUAACACUACCUACAAACACCAGAAACUAGUUGCAACUCCUGGACAGAGAUCAGGUUGAUUAAUAAGUCGAGAGGGGCACUUAAGCAUUCCAAUGCGUGGUAGUAACUGUUCAUGGAUCACAAACACAUAACUCAGUUCCUGAGGACGGCUGCAAUGAGACAACCCACCAUGUACUCCUACAUGGCCUCUCACCGCUACCUUUACCAAAUCGUGUUCACACACUUAGCUCUCAACAGUAGGACAUGUUCACCACAUUCCAAUUCAUUCCCGAUGAAUCAGACCUGACACAAAUCUAAGCAAUAGCAGGCAUGACAAACAAGCAUGAAUGAGUAGGCACAUCAGGGCUCAAACAACUCCUACUCAUGCUAGUGGGUUUCAUCUAUUUACUGUGGCAAUGACAGGUCAUGCAGAGGAUAAGGGGUUCAACUACCGCAGCAAGUAACAAAUGAAUCGUUGUUGUCCUAAUGCAGUAAAAGAGAGCAGGAGCGAGAGAGUGGGGUUGUAUCGGAAUGAACAAGGGGGUUUGCUUGCCUGGCACUUCUGAAGAUAGCAUUGAGUCUUCAUUAGUGUCAACGAUCACAACGCCGGAACAUCGUCUACCGAGAGGGGACUAAUACCGGCAACAGAGAAGAAAUACAAUCAAUGCAAUGCACAAUAUGAUGCAUGAUCAUGACAUGUCAAUAUGCUGUGUUUUAAGCUAAUGCAACUAGCAACAUGUUAAAUGGAGUUGGUUUGAACCCUAGGUUCAAAUUCAAACUCCACAUGUGAGGGUUUAAAUGCCAUUUAUAUGACUUGGCCUAAACAGCAGCCAUAAGUUGUUCUAACAUGCAUGAAAACAGUACAGAUGGAUAGAUUGGAUUUUUCUGAUCAUUUUUCAUAUAUAAUUUGUUUCAUUUGGAGUUAUGGUUGAAUUUCUAUGAAUUUUUGAAGUUUGUAGUAUUUUCUGGAAUUUCCUGUAUAAGAAUAAUUCCAGUAAUUAAAUUACUGCGUCAGCACUACGUCAGGGUGACGUCAGCAUUAACCAAAGUCAAAUCUGACUGGUGGGACCUAUCUGUCAGUGUAACAGUGCUAAUUAUGUGGCUUAUUAAAUCCUAACUAAAAAUAAUUAGCUCGGCGGGGCCCACCGUCAGUGACUCUAGGGGGGUUAGUUAGGCGCUAAUGACGGUGCCACGUCAUCGGUCGCCGGAGCCUUGCCGGCGGCGACCAAAAUGACGGCGGCUCGGCUCGGAUUUGAGCUACGGGUGGUGGUUUGGUGAGCUAAGGGCACCGGGGAGUAGCUCUUGCUCGUCCGCAUCCAAAGGAUCGGACGGGAGGCAGCGGGGUGGCCGGGAGCAGCGCCGGCGGCGAGCAAGGCGGCGGCCGGAGUUCGGCGUCGGUGAGGACGACGCUGCGGUGCACGGGAGGAGGAGCUGGUGCGUGCGUUCGGCUCCUGAGAGCAUGGUUAGCAGGCGGGUGCUACUGGGGCGAGCGGAGGAGCUCGGGAGCGCGGGGCUCGCUGGCCAUGGCGAUGGCCGGAGCUCGGUUUCGCGGGGCGGCGGCUAACGGGCGAGAACGGAGGGGGUGAGAAAGGGGGGAGGAGCAGGAGCUCACGGCGAUGCGGUAGAGAGGGUCAGCGGCCUCGGGGACGGACGGAAACCGACAAAUCGACAGAGACGAUCUCCGGGCGCCAGCGGUGAAGACGAGGACGUUGGCGACGAAGCAAAGUCCUCCGGCUCGUUUCCUUCGGCUUGGGGAUGUGGUGCUCGAUUGCGGAGCUGCUGGGCACGAUCACGGGACAAGGGGUGGCCGGUGGUCAUGGCUACGGCGAGCGGCGCUCUCAGGUGCGUUCGGUGACGAGAGGAAGGGAGAGCAGAGGAGGAGGAGGGGUCCAGAGAGCGAGGGAGAAGUGAGAGGGGGUCGGGGAGGUGCCGUGGCACUCGUGGAGGCGUCCAAAAGCGGCGGAAGCAGGAGGUGGCCUCGCGCGCGGCGACCACACUCCCGGCGUCCCUCUAGCGUCCUUCUGGCGCGAGGUGGGAGACGGUGGUGGCUCUGGUGGGCUGGGCCAGCUCCUGGGCCGUGGUGGGGCGCCAGGUAAGUCCAGGUGAGGGCCCAGUGGCCUUCUCUCUCUCUUACUUAAUUGUUUCUGUUUUCUAUUUUAUUUCUCUGUUUUGAAUUAGUAAAAAUACUAAUUCAUUUUGUAAGAUCCUGAAAAUAAUUGUGGGCACUUUUGAAACUAUUUCCAACAGCCCUCAAAUGCUUUCAAGAUUAUUUGGACAUUUAAAAUAUUUUAUAGAAUGUAAUGUCCAAAUUCAAAUACUUAUGAUUUAAUUCAAAAAUCCAGAAUGUCCUAGAAAAGUGUGCACCAUUUUUGCCAGGGGUUUUAGCCCAAUCCAGAAAUGAUGAACAUUUUGUGAAGGGCAUUUUGGGUUCAUUGAAACCAAUUUUAGUAAACCCUAGUUGGUUUCAGGGGGGGUGCUGGGGGUUCUGUCAUCCCCAUUUCAAGUUUCUGCAAAAUUCAAACAUGAUGCACACAUGAAGCUAGCCUAGUGCAAUACGAGAAGCUAGGGAUGUGACAGUAUGUUACUUGCUCGAGAUUCGAUCGUCGGUAUCUCAAUACCUAGUUCAAUCUCAUUACCGGCAAGUCUCUUUACUCGUUCUGUAAUACAUCAUCCCGCAACUAACUCAUUAGUUGUAAUGCUUGCAAGGCUUAUAGUGAUGUGCAUUACCGAGUGGGCCCAGAGAUACCUCUCCGACAAUUGAAGUGACAAAUCCUAAUCUCGAAAUACGCCAACCCAACAAGUACCUUCGGAGACACCUGUAGAGCACCGUUAUAAUCACCCAGUUACGUUGUGACGUUUGUUAGCACACAAAGUGUUCCUCCGGUAAACGGGAGUUGCAUAAUCUCAUAGUCAUAGGAACAUGUAUAAGUCAUGAAGAAAGCAAUAGAAGAAUACUAAACGAUCGUGUGCUAAGCUAACAGAAUGGGUCAAGUCAAUCACAUCAUUCUCCUAAUGAUGUGAUCCCGUUAAUCAAAUGACAACUCAUGUCAAUGGCUAGGAAACAUAACCAUCUUUGAUCAACGAGCUAGUCAAGUAGAGGCAUACUAGUGACACUCUGUUUGUCUAUGUAUUCACACAAGUAUUAUGUUUCCGGUUAAUACAAUUCUAUCAUGAAUAAUAAACAUUUAUCAUGAUAUAAGGUAAUAAAUAAUAACUUUAUUAUUGCCUCUAGGGCAUAUUUCCUUCAGUGCUAUCACCUACCAUAGGAUUAGUAUAUAAUCUUAUUUCUUUCUUUCUUUGUUUUAUUUAUUUCCUUUCUCAUUUUCUUUCUUAUUUCUUUUCUUUAUUUGCAACAUGAAAGUAAAGAAAGCAAAAACUCAAACUAAACUUUAUUAUAUAACUUGCACACGAUUACAAUGAUAGAUCACUAAGCAAACUCUCAAAGAGGAAAGGAUCGAACUAAACUUUAUUUCAUCUAAAGCAAAAUAUUGAACUAAGAUAAAUAAAAGCAAAAAGAUAGUGGGAUGAUACGAUACCGGGGCACCUCCCCCAAGCUUGGCGGAAGCCAAGGGGAGUGCCCAUACCCGAUACUCAGUUCUCCUUUGGUGGUGAAGAAGAUGAUGGUGAAGUAGAUGGUAAUGGUGGUGGUGAGAAGAUAGGGGAUUUGUGACGAUGACAUGUACCUAGGGUAGGGUCAUAGGCCUGACCUAGACGCCCUACCCAAGGACACUGCCCUAGACUCAAAGACAUUCAAAGCACAAGAGAAACCGACUGAGUUCAUCGAGGAGUGCAAUCCACUCGACCUUCAACCUCACUCAGAUACCCCAAUUCCAUUCGACCAAUAUGAAGUCAUUCGACGAUACAAGAAACCACUCGGAGUAUAGAAGACCUAACGUCACUCAGGAUGGCAACGGUCGGACACUCACUCUGUAACCUUAAAGAUCAUUUAUAUCUCUUUAUUACCGGCGUUACCAGUAACGCCCUACCUUAAUGUACAUUGAACACUUUGUAACAUGGGCUUGCUGGGGUUCUAGCGCACUUUAUAUAAGCCACCCCCCUCCACUGGUACAAGGGUUCGCACCCCCUGUAACUCUCACGCAUAAUCCAGUCGACCAAGCCUCCGGGCACCGAGACGUAGGGCUGUUACUUCCUCCGAGAAGGGCCUGAACUCGUAAAUCUUGCGUGCACAACCUUGCCGUAGCUAGGAUCUUGCCUCCUCAUACGUACCCCCUACUCUUACUGUCAGACUUAGUACCACGACAGUUGGCGCCCACCGUGGGGCAGGUGUCUUAGCGACUUCCGGUGAGGUUGCAAUUUCUCCAAUCUCCAUCAUCAUGGUUUCUGGCGGCGGUUUGGCUGAGGGCCGCGAGAUCCGUCUCGGUGCACUCGUGUUCAUCGUCGAUGACUCCGCCUGGCUCCAGGAGGCCCCUCUCGAUGUCGAGAUGCUCCCCGUCUGCAGGGUGACGCACUUUCGCACAUGUGUCUGCGGCGUUCUUCUGCGGCAGACGUCGACCUAGUAUCGGUCAUCUCCCACAGCAUCUUCGCUCCCCACCGCUCGCCGUUGCAAGCGGUCUGGUCGAUCGCGGCUCCAGCGGUGGGUAAAGCAUGCGGUGGCCCGUCAGUUGGCCACCCCUCAAGUCGUGGCAAUCAAUCCCGACGAAUAUCUCUAUGGACUAUUCGAUCUAUCGACUGGUUCCACCGAGACUCUGUCCGAGUGCGACAGCAGUGACCCUGCGGCAGAAGUUUUGAUGGUUGACAUGCCAUGCAGCCCUCCUGGUUUCUGUCGCGGUGGCGGCGGCGAUGGCGAUGGCGGCUCGUCGCAUGGUCAUGAGGAAUAUCGUCCCGAAGCCCUCACUUCGCAGCGGAGGGAUGAGCUGCACCAUCGCAAUGUGGAGGCGCUUCACACUCCCAUCAUUGGAGAGACCUCCGAGGCUCGGGCCUUGGAGGCUGCGCGCCUGGCCACUUUGGCUGAGCGCGCACGUCUGGAGAACCUUCAACAUUCACUCGACGGACGCGCUCGAAGACAGAUCCCCGAAUCCAGUCGAUGACAAUGACAGUUGUUUCCGCCUGAACCCCAGGUAUACCGCACUCCGAUCUAGAAUCUUACAGCUGCAGCCCAUAUAGCAGAGUCGAUUCAGCCGUCCCAAUCAGAGGCUGGAAGAGGUUUGAUGCAGAUCCGAGCACUACUCCGGGCAGCAGGAGAGCAAAACACAGCCGUUUCUCAGUCUCGCAACAGGAGCCAUAGCAGGUCCAUGGUGGCGGACACAGUCCAGUCGGCUCACAGCCCAAGAUUGCCUCUGCGGCGUGAAGGUCGUGGGCACCGCCAGGAGCAGUACCUGGGUCGGAACCACGAGCAGUAUGAUCAUCGACUCGGCCGUGAUGACCGCCGUCGACUACCUACGCCCCCUCCAAGGGGCGGAUCGUACAUGCCCCGGCAAUAUGAUGAUAGGCGCCCGUAUAGCGAUGAGCGAAGGGUCCCAGUCGACCUAAGAGAGCCCGGGUUUGGUGCGAGGUCAAUUCUUGUACAAGGUCUGGUCGACAGAAACCAAGCACAUAGAGAAGGACUGGACAGAGAUCGUCCGAUUGGUAGCAGAGUACAUGUCUCCGGACCUGAAUGCUUCAGCAGAGCCAUCAGAGCUGCUGAGAUCCCUCCCAACUUCAGGUUGGCAACGGGAGUGAGCAAGUUCACCGCUGAGUCGAAGCCUGACACUUGGCUGGAGGAUUACCGAGUGGCUGUGCAGAUUGGCGGUGGCAAUGAUGAUGUAGCCAUGAAACAUCUCCCCCUGAUGUUGGAGGGUUCGGCCAGAGCUUGGUUGAAUCAAUGGGCCCCUGGUAGUAUAUUCAGUUGGGAAGAGUUGGCCCGAGUGUUUGUGAGGACAUUUGAGGGCACUUGCAAACUAUAACACCCACGAUGCGGCUAUAUCUCCCACGUGUCGAGGCACGACUUAGAGGCAUAACCGCAUUAUGGUUUUGUCGCAAGAAGGGUCAUCUUCACACAAUCCCAUGUAAUGAACAAGAAUGGGAUAAAGAGUUGGCUUACAAUCGCCACUUCACACAAUACAUAAAUAAAUCAUACAUCAAACAGAGUACACACAUAGGUCCGACUACGGAACCAAAAUAAAAGAAGACAACCCCAAAUGCUAGAUCCCCGAUCGUCCCAACUGGGCUCCACUACUGAUCAUCAGGAAACGAAACAUAGUAACGACCAAGGUCCUCGUCGAACUCCCAAUUGAGUUCGGUUGCAUCACCUGCACUAGUAUCGUCGACACCUGCAACUGUUUUCGAAGUAUCUAUGAGUCACGAGGACUCAGCAAUCUCACACCCGCGAGAUCAAGACUAUUUAAGCUUAUGGGUAGGAAAGGGUAGUGAGGUGGAGCUGCAGCAAGCACUAGCAUGUAUGGUGGCUAACAUAUGCAAAUAAGAGCGAGAAGAGAAGCAACGCAACGGUCGAGAAGCUAGAAGUGAUCAAGAAGUGAUCCUGAAACUACUUACGUUCAUACAUAACACAAGAACCGUGUUCACUUCCCGGACUCCGCCGAAAAGAGACCAUCACAGCUACAUACACGGUUGAUGUAUUUUAAUUAAGUCAAGUGUCAAGUUCUCUACAACCGGAUAUUAACAAAUUCCCAUCUGCCACAUAACCGCGGGCACGGCUCUCGAAAGUUCAAACCCUGCAGGGUUGUCCCAACUUAGCCCAUUAUAAGCUCUCACGGUCAACGAAGGAUAUUCCUUCUCCCGGGAAGACCCGAUCAGACUCGGAAUCCCGGUUUACAAGACAUUUCGACAAUGGUAAAACAAGACCAGCAAGACCACCCGCUGUGCCAACAAAUCCCGAUAGGAGCUGCACAUAUCUCGUUCUCAGGGCACACUGGAUGAGCCAAACGUCGGGUUGGCAUAGACCCUGGUUGCCCAGGGGNNNNNNNNNNNNNNNNNNNNNNNNNNNNNNNNNNNNNNNNNNNNNNNNNNNNNNNNNNNNNNNNNNNNNNNNNNNNNNNNNNNNNNNNNNNNNNNNNNNNNNNNNNNNNNNNNNNNNNNNNNNNNNNNNNNNNNNNNNNNNNNNNNNNNNNNNNNNNNNNNNNNNNNNNNNNNNNNNNNNNNNNNNNNNNNNNNNNNNNNNNNNUAAAUAAAGAUGACCCUUGAGUCUGUAGAACCCAAGGGAAAAAGGCUUAGGUAGGCAAAUGGUAAAACCAAGGUUGGGCCUUGCUGGAGGAGUUUUAUUCAAAGCGAACUGUCAAGGGGUCCCAUAAAUCACCCAACCGCGUAAGGAACGCAAAAUCAAGGAACAUAACACCGGUAUUUCGGAAACUAGGGCGGCAAGAGUGGAACAAAAUGCCAGGCAUAAGGCCGAGCCUUCCACCCUUUACCAAGUAUAUAGAUGCAUUAAUUAAAUAAGAGAUAUUGUGAUAUCCCAACAUAUCCAUGUUCCAACAUGGAACAAACUUCAUCUUCACCUGCAACUAGCAACGCUAUAAGAGGGGCUGAGCAAAAGCGGUAACAUAGCCAAACAAUGGUUUGCUGGGAAAGGUGGGUUAGAGGCUUGACAUGGCAAUAUGGGAGGCAUGAUAUAGCAAGUGGUAGGUAGCGCGACAUAGAAAUAGAGCGAACAACUAGCAAGCAAAGAUAGAAGUGAUUUCGAGGGUAUGGUCAUCUUGCCUUAGAUUCCGCAAGGAAGAAGAACGAGUCCAAGAAGAAGACAAACGGACGUAGUCGAACGAAUCCUCACAACUCCAGAACGAAACUGAAGCUAUCGAGAGAAGCAAACCGGAAAGAAGCAAACAACAUGGUAAACAACCAUCACAUAAACAUGGCAUGAUGCACAAACAAAUAUGAUGCAUGUCCGGUUUAAUGAGGCAUGGCAUGGCAAAGUGCACAAACAAUACUACAAAUCAAGUGGAGCUCAAUAUGCAACGAGUUGCAUAUUGACGAAACACCACAUUCGGAUUAUUUAGUUCACUCCCAUUUAAGCUACUCAACAAUAUUAAAUGUUGUUAAACAUGGGCAAGAGGUGAAACAUAAUUAAUCUACCUAUCUAGGCAAGUUUAAAUGGGGCCGAAACAACAAACAACAAUUUCGGAAAUCCCCAUAUGUUAUUUAGCAAUGUAACGCAAACAACAAUUUUAAACAUUUUAAUUGUUUUUAUCAUGAUGCGGAUGACAUAUGCAAGUUUUAUGCAAUUUUAUGAAAACGUUGACAUGAGCAUGUUAUGAAGCAUUUGUUACCGUGGUGGAACGAAAGGGGUGCCACGGCAACGACAACGAAAAUGGUGCCACGACAACAUUCCGAUGAUCCGAUAACUCAUUGAGAUACCGGUGCAAAAGAGCAAGUGUGCGGAUGUGCGAAACAUGCAAAAGAUGGUGGGGUGAUCCCGAUUACCGGGUGUCCCACAUGUCGGUGGCAUGGAAACAAGGAACGCACAAGCGACAACUGGGACACGGUGCAAACGCGAGCAUCUCAUACAACAAAGCAUUCGAUCCACGGGUGAUCGUCUCGUUGGUUAUACCUUUGAAGCGUGCAUUCGGGGCAGAACACGUCGGUGCGAUGUAGAGGAAGUAGACGUUCUCGGGACUGUCGUCGUGGAAGUAGUGGCACACGGCGAUGGUAGUGGUUCACAUUUCGUAGUCGUACACACUCCGUAGAGGAUCGGGGUCUCGGUGAGGAACUUGACGUCCACGGGGUCGAUGGUAGAGGUACACACGUUGUCGGGGUACUUGUUGGUCUGGUCUUGGCAACAGUAGUUGUACAUGUUCGAAGAUGUUCAAGUCAUCGGUGUCGUUGUACUUGGGGUCUUUGGACUUGCCGAUCUCGCAUCUUGCGACGGUAGUGGUACACGGUCAUCUUGCGACGGUAGUGGUACACGGUCGUAGACAUCCAGGGUCAUCAUAGAUGUACUUGACGUCCACGGAACUAGCAGCGGAGCGCCCGGGUCUCGGGUCCUGAUCUUCAGGAGGUCAGCGGUGACCGCAGGUACACGGGGAGGCUGCACCGGGGCCCAAGGCAAGCAAGCGGCCAAUGGCACAAAGCAUCAGAGAUGGCAGCAGUGCCAUCGGGGGUGCCAGGAGGAGGAGCUCGAGCAGAGGAGGCUCGAGGCGCGGCGGAGCUCCUGGUGGUCGCAGCGUGCGACGAGGAGAUGCGGGAGGCAGCGGGGUCCUACGGGUCAUGCAGAAGAGGGGCCGAAGCAAGGCAAGGAGGG